GGGGCGGGGGGGCGGCGCGCGGCGCCCGGGGCCUGGAGCUGCGGCUGCGGCGGCGCCGGGGGAACGUGAGGGAAAACACCCGGCUCCGGCGGUGCUGAACCCCGGAUCGCCUGAAACGCGUGUGCGAUCCGCGCGGAAACCGCCAGUUCCCCCCAGAUCGCAUCCUCCCGACGUGAAAUUUGGGCUCAGCCCCCCCCCCCCCCCCACGCGGGGUUUGGGGCUGUAAAGUUCCCGUUAGAAAUCGCGUCUUUAUGGUAGGAAGGCGGCUGUCGCUGGCCGCGAACCUGCCCCCGUGACUGACACGCUGGUACUGAUUUGGGUUUGAUCGAAUUGACUUUACACUGAUUUUAUUUGGCGUGCUGCAAAUGGCAUUGAGGCCGCGGUGCAGUCCGUGGCGAAGGCCACUCGGAACGCUUGAAAUGGUGGACGCCAAAUCCGGAGCAGCACGAGGUGAAGCGAGAGGUAAAAAACAUGGGUUGAAGGUGAGCUGGGGCGCGAGCGAGCUGGCCCGCAUGUGUCGUCAUCCUGCGGGAGCCGGCUGCGAGGGGCCGCACCAAGCAGGAGUAAAGAGGAAGAAAAGGCUGGGGGACUUUUAUAUAUAUAAAAGGGAAAAUAAAACACGUAGGGGGAGAAAUACAGACACGUAGGAGGAGAUUUCUGCGGUACCAAAUGGCGACGAGCAGGUUUGGCCCGGAGCUGGUAAGUUCUCUGAAGCAGUUUGGAGUAGGGACGAUGGGCGACCUGACCCACCUUGCUAGGGUCGGUGCUGUGGUGAGGAGGUGGUGGUGGUGGUGGUGGUGGUGGUGGAGGUCCACUCCUCAGACCAGGGACAGCCUCAGGAAACCGAAAUGGGACAGACACUCCGUUUAGUUUUGGCUUCUUACGUUUACUGUUUUUUUCUGAAUUAACAUACAUACUGAAAGCCAUGAUCAUGCAAUUUUUACCCCUAAAUCCCAAAUAGUGGAAAGAAAUCCAAAUUAAUUUGUUGUUUUCCUUAACUGCUGUGCUGACAAGUUUUUCACCUGUAAGGCCCUAAGAAGGUGACUUUAUAAAGUAGACUUUAAAGCCCUAACUAGUUUGAAGGAUGAUAAAGAAACUGGUUUGCAAUAAGGUAUUUUACAUUCAACAUGCAGGUCUGAGAGCUUCUUCUUUGUGGGUGUGGGAAACUGAUCUUUUACAGCAAGUGGCAAUUAGUUGUUUUUUAAUUGCCAUCAAGUCUCUGGGCUGGAGAGAGCUUCUUGGACAAGCUCUGUCCUUAUGAAAACUACUUCUUCCCUGUUGAAAGUUGACUCUAUUUUCCGGCUGGCUUGCGCGUUCAGCCCAUAAUGGUUAUCCAAAUACUUUCAUGUAUGAAAUUAGUUACAUCUGUGUCAUAACUUUAUGGACAGCUGAAACUUUUGCAUUAAAAAAUGAAGACUAUGAUAGGCACAAUAUUGCAUGACAAUUCUUUAGAUAAUGAAACAUGGUGUGUCAUUAAUGUAAAUCCAAAUGGUAUGCUAUUUAUUUUUAAAGGAACUCAGUCUUGAUGCUUUUAUUUGUAUUAGCAAUAAAAGCAUACUUAAAAAAAAGUUAAAAUUUAUGUGUGUUGUGACCUGAAUAGAUAUAGCUCAAUCACAGACUAGACCUUGUGCUUUGAAAUCUUAUUUCAGCUUGAAGUUAACACUUGCUUCAUUCCAUUACUGAACUGAGGAGAAAUUUUAUGUCACACCGUUGACUUGAAUCUGCUUAAAUCUUGAUGACAGCUACUUGUCAUGAUUCAGGUCUGUGACCUGAGCUUUUGGGCAUUGUUGGGCAAUUUAAAAGCUAAUUCAAAAACCAGUGAAAAGUCAGUAUUUUUACAGGGACAGUUUAUAGCAUAUUGUAUGUAUCAUAUUAUCAUUAUGGUGAGCUGUUUUUUUCAUGGUAAAAUUAUAAAAAAAACAACAAAAAAGAAUGUUUGGAUAUCUCUUGUGCCUAUGCUUUGGAUGUCUAUAACUACCUAAUGAGUGAUCGUAGAGAAGAUGGAGGACAGACACUUCUCAGGCGUGCGGAGCCAAAGGAUAAAGGUCAAUUGAUACAAGUUGCAGGAAGGGAAAUUCAGAUUAGAUGCAAGGAAAAAGUUCUUUUCAGGAAGGCAGUCUAAUGCUGGAACCAGGAGCCAGAGAGGUGGUGAAACUCCCAUUCUUGGAAAAAUUCUUGACUUGACUGGACAAGGCCCUGAGCAGCCAGAUCUGACCCUGCUUUAAGCAGGGGUGUGGGCUAGGUGAUCUCCAGAGGUCCCUUCCAACCAAAAUGAUUCUCACGGUGUGUGAUAUACAUUGUGUUAAUUAGCUUAGUAUUUUAGUAUGUCUGUGUGUUGGGGUUUUUGUGCGCUGAUGUAUUUUUGGAGUGAACUAGAUGCCAUAAAGCCUAUAUGCUCAUGUAAAUUAAUGAGUAUGCAUAAUUUGAGAGAUAAUUUAAAUGUUGACAUAGGUAAAUUUGUUUUGAGGGUAUCCUACUAAUCAGAAGAUUGAAAUUAAAAUAGCUGAUAAUUAAGUUAGCAUCCUGAAAUGGAUGCAUACAUUUGUUCAUUUUCUAAUCUGUGGGUUUUAUGAACAGGAAUUUUUUUGAAAGGACUUCACAGGAAUUUAAGAAGAUUAAAAAAAAAAGCUAAAUAUAUUUACAGAAUAGAGGUGUUCUCUGUAAUUAUAUUCAAAGAACAGGUUCCAUAAAAUCAAGGGACUAGUUAGGUUUCGUAAGCUUUCUGAAGUUUGGAACUCUAAUUCAGAAAAAAUUCAGCCACUCACGAUCCAUUGGUUGGUUUGCAGUUUAUCAAACUGUUUAAAAUUGUCUGACGUUUGUGGGAGAUUUUCUUGAAUGUUACUCUGCUCACUUGCUGAAAAUAGAUUUUUUUUAUGUUUUAGUAGAAGGCUGAGGGCUGUCUAUUACAGGCUAGGGAACACUUUCCAGAAUUACAAAACUCUAGUAUUCAUCACUUGUAUAAAAUUGCUGGGAAAAUUUUUCCAGUGCACAGCUAUCUAUGUAUUGGUACUGGACUAUGCACAGGAACCCAGUGGGAGUGGUUAUUAUACAACUGAUAGGGUGAGAGGAGGGUGUAAUGUUUUUGUGUAAUUCCCAGAAUUAAAGCACUGUGUGUUUGCAUUAGCCAUUUUUAGAUUAAUGGUGUAGCGUAAUGUAUUUAAGAGUCACACAUUGGAGAAAGUGACACUUUGCUCUUGCCACACUUAACAAGAAAAGCUACUGACAGAGAUGUUUCCAAAUGUUUUCUCGAAAUAGUAUCUUGCCUAGCCAGUUGCUUCAUGCCCCCUGACAUAUGCUAUGUGAAAUGUUGUUGCCAACGCAUCAGCAGUUGUUCUUCUCAUCUUAUUUCCCAUUAUCUGUUUAUGAUUAAACAAAGCCCUGAACUCCACUGGUGGUUUGAUACUGCUCUUUCAUAACUAGCACUCUGAAAAUAAAGCAUGCUGAAAGUAUAUUUUCAAAAAAUGCGGUGCAAGCCAUAGAAACAGUGUUUAUCAUAGAGUGAAAUACAGCCGGGUGUCAUAAGAUACCAUGUUUCACUAAUAGAUACAUGUUACAUACUAACAGACAUAAAAAUGUCUGAUUAUUCUUAGGUUAAAAAACCAAGAGAUUUUCCUAUAGAACUUUUGUGUUUUCCACAUUUCAAAGAAAGAAGUUGGUAAGCUAGUGAGUUAGUUUUAUUAGCCUAGUACUUAGCCUUAGUACGUGUUUUUUUUACAAUGUGUUUAUCAACAUCGCGCAUAAAAGUAUUCCAAACUUCAGGUUAAUAGCACUUAAACUUUAGAUUGAACUUUCUUUAAUCACAGGAGUUGUCUGCCCUCAUCAUCUUUCCCUGCUCCCCCUACCUACAUGAAUGCCUACUCUUAGAGCUGUCCCAGAGCCAUGAGCUAUACAAACCCUGGUAUCUCCAAAAUAUUAUAAUUUAGACUAUUUUCCUUUACCAAAGAGUCCUUUAGUCUGAGCAUCACUAAAGGCCCUUUCUCCUCAUCCAGUCUGAUGUCCUAAAACUUGUAGUUCCACUUUUAUCUUGGCUUCCCGCUCUCCUGAAACACUGGUACUCUAGCCAGCAGCUUCACCCCCUCCCCGGCUGCCGCCAGGCUUUGUGUCCCGUGCUUGUGCUGAGAUUCCCGUGCCGAGUCGCAGACGUGCCUGCCAGCCUAGCCCGCAGCUGAUUUGCCUCACUGGUGACGGGAGCUCUUCCAGGAAGGAGCAGCACAGCCUAUUUUCUCAGGGCUAGUUUGGCUGCUGCAGCACAUUUCCUUUAUAUAUUAUGGAUAGCUUUUGUAUGAGGGAAGGGAAGGGAUGAUGCCAUAUGCUUGCUUACUGUUUACUGCUGCAAAUGCAGAACGUGCCCUAUCUGGUCACAACUUUGUCCUGCUUACUUUCCAGUAUUACCGACCCCAGAUGAACUUCACACCUUUCAUGCAGCUGUUAUAAAUGAAAGAAUAUGAGAAAAAAGAACUAGAACUGCAGAUACCUUUGCUGCAGGUGCCAGUCAUGAAGAAACCUUGGAAGCCUUAGCUUUAGACAAUUAAAAGCAGUAUUUUUUUCCCUAAAAUAGAAAAAAAGAUCUUUGAUAGCUGAGUCACCUCCUGACUGAAGAAAAUGUCUGCAGUAUUGUCUUUUUCAUGCUGUGAUCCAGUAAUUGCUUUCUGGCAUUAUAGGAGAAAAAACUUUGGCUAAACAGAAACUUUACGCACUUCAGAGCACUCUGAGAACACUUUAAUAUAAUACUGUUGACUUAGUAAUGUCAAAAACACUGCUGCUUGGAGAGAAUCGUGGGAAUGGUUGCUUUGUAUGCCCGGUUGAGGAGCCAUAGGAGUUUGCCACUAAAUACAUUGGUGUGGAUUUGAAAACAAUCUCGCAUAGCAGAGACGUCAUUUUCCAUUUCUGCAUUGAUUUGCUACUGCCUGUAGUAAAUAUAAACUGUUCCUAGCAGUUUUCAUAGUAAUUGCUGGUUAUCUGCAUAACUGAAACUCUAAGCAUAACCAUGUUUAACAGGUUAUUACUGUUUGAAGAAAGAUUAUUAGGGCUUAUUGAAUUACUAUGUUGUAAUUGGAUUCCUUCUGCUUCCUCACUCUUUUUUUUCCCUUUUCUUUUUGGCCUGCCUUAUUGCAUUUUACAUUUAGUCUCCCAGAGUUUGAUCCAUGCUGAUUUGGUCAUUACUUGAGCUUUUUAAAGGAUACCUUCUUCUGUCUAACGAUCUCCCUCAUUAGCACACUGUCCAGCUAUGCUGGCUUUCUCCUGCCUUUUUCCAAGCCUUUUUAAGAGGUGGUAUGCCUUGGCUGUGAACAUUGUGCAUUGAAUUCAGUAGUCUCCUUCCCACCUAAAAGAUUUAAUUAUCUUAGUUGCCUCACAAUCUACUUUGAACAAGCUUAUUUUUUCAGUCUGUCUUUAUAAAGUUGAUGAUAAGUUUUAAUGGAUUUUAAGUCUUUGUUAGUCUUACAGGGAGACCAAACAGUAUUAGAGUUGUUGUAUUACAUGUGACUCUUCAACUGUAAGAUUUGGAGUGAGAUCUUGCAUGUUACUGAGGACCAAGCCAGGGAUCACAUCUGGUUUUGUGGGCUAACCAGUUGUUCCGUAAAACAGUAGUUGGUAGCACCUGGGAUUACCAGUUGGGAAUCCCCCCAAACUGGAUUAGUUUUGGGGAUUACCUUCUGAUAUGGCCCUUACCUCCAUGCAGAAAAUUGGAAAAUUGUGAUUCUCCUUACCUUUGCAUUUCCUGCCCUUUUCUACUCUCUGACAUGCUUUAGCAUAUUGCAGUCAGCAUUGCUAGCCUGGCAGGCAGGCAGAAUUUUGAUCAGUGCUAUAGUCUUCAUAUUUUGGCUUGCAGUUACCAUGUGCACUCUUCGUGAUAGCUGGCUUGUUAAUUUAAUUUUAUUCUAUGUUUGCUUUAGCACUGCUUUACAACCAGUGCGGUGUAUUCUCUUUUUCCUGUGUGUUUUUCAUCUGGGCGUUGAAGCGUUCCACUGUUUGUCUUCAUUCCACAAAGUCUCUGUUUAUGCCUCUGCGGUUGAAUUCUUUGAAAGCUACAUGUUCCAGUUUCCGCAGGUACAACUGUUGUCUCUUUCCUUGGUAACCUGUUUCAGUGGGUUUGUUUUCCAUUUCCUAUCUGACUGUUUCUAUCCUCUGAAGUAUCCUUCAUCCCUCACAGAAGGAUGUACUGAACGGUGUGUUCUGCCACACCUGCCAGCUUUCCUUCAUUGCUCAAUGUAAAUGUCAUUUGUGACCUUUUUGAUUUUUAAGUGCCAUCAAGUUGAAUCUCUUGUGACUUAGCUGAAGUCCUUCCUUUCUGUACAGACUCUUUAUUUGAAAAGUGUCCCAAUUCCUGAUAAAUCAGAAUUCCUACCACUGUCAGCAGGUAUUAAAAUGCUGCAUUCCUCCUCCCCGCCUCCCCCCCGCCUCCACCCACAGCCUUUCACUCCUGUACAAGGAAAUCUGUGUACAGAAAGAACAUUUAGGAAAAGUCUUUUAAGGACUUUAAAGGCUUUAGCUGAAGGGCAGAAGCAUAUACAUAUGAAAACGUGUGCCAUCAUUUUGCUUUUGCUGGCACUUUUCUACUUUGACUGAAGAAAACUGAAAUGCAGGAAGAGAUUAUAUCUUCACAGAACAUGCUAUCUGAACUCCUCUUUGAACUAAACAUUAAUGGUGGCUCCCGUCAGCUGGUAAGAAAGCUGCGUUCCCCUCCCAGCUUUUCACUCCUGCAUGGGGUGCUAGUGGCCCUUCGGAGAGCACUGUCGUAGAAGUGGUUUUUUUUCAGCUUCCUUUCUCUAAACCUACAUCCUUCCUCCAGGUCCUUUUUCCUGUCUUCUGUCAUUGGUACCGCUUUACAAAAGCAAUGUGGUUGAUGGUAAAGGAGAAUAGUUGCUUUCAAUUCUACUUGAAGCUAGGUUACUUCCUCAGCUGUGGAUCUUUGGACAUUUACAACAGUUCCAUAUACAUAUUAUUUUUCAUUUUGUUUUGCAUUCUUUCUUCUGGUUGGUUUGGACUCACAACAGCUUAUGGGACAAGGAGUGUUGCUGCGGACUUGUUCUGUUUGGAUGCAAUGAAGUUGUAAUCACGUGGAUCAGAGCCACCAUUAAUUUUUCGUUCUGAGUUCAGAUAGUAUGUUCUGUGAAGACAUAAUCUGUGUCUGCAUUUCAGUUUUCUUCAGUCAAAGCUGGAAAGUGCCAGCAAAACCUAAAUGCUGUUUCCUAUGUAUAUGUUUCCCCCCUUCGGCUGAAGUCUUUAAAGUCCUUAAAAGACUUUUCCUAAAUGCUCUUUCUGCACAUAGAUUUCCUUGUUACUCAGUGUUCUUGGGCCUUGGGUACUUUACUUAUGUAAAAGCUAGGAUUUAAGUCGUGUUUCAAAUUAGAUUCAUCUCAUUUAACUUUAAAGUUAUUAUUUCCUUUGACAUAAGUGGUUCGUUGUUUUGUCCUGCCUAUGGUUAAUCUCUGCCGUUUUGCUCCAGGGGUUGUUCUCAGUGCAGUUCCAGUCCCUUAGCACUGCAAAGGUGCUCUCCAGUUCUUCCUCGCUGGGAACACCAGUCAAAAGGAACCAGCAGAGGAGUAUGUUCCAAAGCAAUGGAAGUUGCCGUGUGUGUUGUGAGUAUUUCUGUUGCAGCACUAUGCCACUUCACAGCAAGAAGGUAAGUAGAAACAAAGAUCCGACUUCUGGAAAGGCAGGCCGUGUGAGACAAGACGUAAUCUCAGUUUAAUGCCAAGUGCUACUAGAUUAAUCGUGCUUUUGUGAGCCAGUCUGUAGAAAACAGUGGGCAAGCCUAAUGUUCCACAGAGGACUACUGUCCACAUGUAUGAGCUGGUUCAACACCUGCUGAAGCUAACAAUGCUCUCCACUGAUGCCAGGGGAAUUUGGAUCAGGUCCAUAUACAGUCAUCUAGCCCUCAAAAGUCCAUGUUAAUCCAAGUACAUGUGCCAGUGGUGCACCAGUUGGCUGUGAACUUCACGCAUAUAUUAGAGGUCUUCCAGAACUUUAAACAUAAGUCUUUAUCAAAAAAGGUAAAAGAAAUGUUGUUGCUUACAGGAGUUACAAAUUUAGCUGCAAAUCUUGGCAGGAAGUGGACUUAGGAGCCUUUAAACAGGUCCAGUGUUCUAACCACUGGGAGAUGGCCAUAAAUAUAUGUCUGCAAUAUCAUAUUGAUGUCAGACAGAGUUACAGACAUUUUCAAGGCCAGAUUUUCAAAAAAGUAAUUGCAGUCAGAAAAUUUACCCUAUAAUUACAGUGCUCAAAAGACUAGCAAAUGAAUGUGUUGUGAAUCUUUUUCCUACUGAUGGGAAAUAGUAAAAGUACAUGCUGCUUGACCUACAAAACAUCACAAAUUCUUGACUACCUAACAAGUUAAAUGUUGAUCUGAGAGAACAUGUAAUAUCACAGAUUAUCUAAGCAAAAUUGGAGAGGUGUCAUUUUACUGGAUAUCGGUAUGUGUUGGCUAAUGGUAUUAUAUUGGAUAAAUGUUUCUGCUCAAACUGAUAAGCUAAAGAAAGGUCCAUCAUCCAAUGCUGAAUGAAGUUGUAGUUUAUGUCCUCAACAGACCUGCCAUGAGCUGUGAAAUACCAGUUUUCACUGGGAAGAGAGCCAAGGCAUACAACAGUCUGAAGAAAAAGAAUGCAGAGAUUUGCUAAAUAUUUAUUUCAAUUACUUGAACUACCCUAUAUUCUUACUACAAGCAUAUAAAUGUUUACAAACACUUUAUGAUUGAGGAUUACUGGUUGAAAUAGGAUAUUCUAGUUGUUUAAGAAUGCUGUUUUAUUAUUAGUGCAAUUUGUCUCAACUUUUAAUUUUUUUUUUAAGUCAAAAUUCCAAAAAUGAAGCUUUUUGACUGCUAAGCAUCACUGGCCAGAAGCUGUACUGUAAAGUUCUCUAUAGCUUUUUAAAAGGCAACAACAUUUAGAACGUUAUAGUUAAGAGUGUAAAUAAAAAUGUUUCCUCUAAAACUAGUUGAAAGCUAAAUUAUAUUUUUAAUUUCAAAUACAAAUGGAAUGGUUAAUAUGACUGCAUUUUUUUCUGCAAUAUUCUUGAUUCAUUAAAAAUUUACAUUUCAAAGUCUUAAAAACCACACAUGAAAAAAAAGUUGCAAGAUUCUUGCUUUGUUGUAAUAGUAGUACUAGUUGCUUAUCUGGGAAAAUGUCUUCAGGGAGGUUUACUGUGGUAUGUGUAUGUGCUAGGUGCAAGUGGUCUGCUUUUGCUGUCACCAGAUCUGUAAUUUUAGCUUUAUAUUCAGCUUUUUCCAGUGUUGGAGUACAUGCAUGGUUAAUGCUUUUAAAUUUCACUGCUUCUUUGUACAGUCCUUCCAAGAUUUGAUCUUCUUUGUGCACACUUCAAUGUUUUUGUCAAAACUCUGCGCAUCUCGUGUCGGGGCUGUUGGAGUCCACUCUUUGGUAGCGGCACUUCCAGCUGUGCGUGUUCAGAAUAUUCACAGUUCUGUUGCAGAUGUUGACUACUGGUUUGUCACUCUGAUAAAUGUCCCACGAGCCCGUUCACAGGUUUUCCUGCUUCCAACACAUCAAAACCAAGCAUCACAUUAAAACCUCUCAUUAUCUUAGGCAGGUAAAAAGCAUCAGUUCUUGAAGAGUCACAAGAAAACCGAGAACCCCUCCCGAGGUCCUUGGCCCAAAGACUGGCCACAGGGGUCCAAGGGGAAGCAGCACGCGUUUCACAGUGCAAAGCCACACUUUGUGUUUCGGAGUAGGUGCCAGACAAGGGGAGAAGGUGAUUGUGUGUGUGGCUUGGGGAAAAAUUCGGGCAGUAGAGGCAAGCCUCUAGAGUUCUUCCUGCCUGUGAAAUGAAAUGUGAAUUAUUAUUCCCAGAAGAGAAGCAAAUUUAUAAAGGGUAAAAAAGCUACCACCUUUGUUGUUGAAAGUUUGUUGCUUCUGAGGAGCUGGAUAACAGUUUGGAGUCGCUUUCUGAAGCUACCUGCCCAAAGACGGCUUAUCAGUUUCUAUGAAGCUUGCUGCUAUCUCCUGUUCCUCCUGUUCCUCUGCACCCCGUGGCCUUUCUGUCACGUGUCGGUAGAAUGUGCUGAGGUGUGGAGCUGGCAGAACUCAGGAACAAAAUAUGCAUCAGCUCAUCAGCAAGUUAAAGUAGCUUGGCAGACUACCAGGGGACAGGAGGCGUAGACGAGAGAGUUGAGAAGAAAACAUCUAGGCACACCCGGAUGCUCGGAGUUGGGUAAAUACCUGAAACGACCUGAAUGAGAUCGGAAAGGGCCAGAAUAUGGGAAGGAGGGGAAGAUGAUUGUCUCCGUGUGAGAGCUGAGAUCUGAAGUUUUUGCUUAUAUGUUUCGCAUUAUGGCCCUGCCCUUAUGUCUUACCUGUUGUGCUACGGACACUUAGCUUUUAUCCAGCUCUUUCAGUUAUUUGUCAUGGAGAUUUAUGGUUGUCCUUGCCUUGGAAAUUUACGCUAUGCUAACUGUAUUCAAACUGUCGUGUGAAUGGACAGUAACAUAGAUAUUUUCUACAUCCCAAUGCUUUUCUGCGAUCAGACAGAAAAUGAAGCUGACUGUUGGGAAUUACGAUGCAAUGCUAGUAGAUCCCUAGUCAUUCCAGGCAUCGUUCAGGUAGUACGUCUCAAAUCAAUACUGUUAAUCAGUGCAAAGUACGGACCAUGCUUUUUAGAAUUUUAUUUUUACUAUAUGGUGGCAAGAACAUUGCCAGUUAGAAUGACUGUGUCAUUCAUAGGUUCUGUAUUUAUGCUGAUUCUGAUUUCUUUUGAACUAGGAAAUGGGCUAUCCUGUUACCCAUCCAGCAAAUUUAAAACCCAUAUGUUGUUUGAAACAAAUAUUGGUGUGGUUUAUUUUUUGAAGCAUUAUACUUUCUUUUUAAUACACGUUACUGACUGUAAUCCGUUGGAAUAUCAGCAGCUUUAGGAUAUUUGGUGUAGCGAAGCUGCUGGAGUCUAAGAAAAUCUUCCAGUCUUCUUUAGGAUCAGAUGUUAUAUGGAGCUCAUAGGGUACUUGUAAGCACUAAAUAAGAUUCAUAUGAUAGUCUUAGCCUAUAGUCUACCACACACUCAAAUAUGCAUUGCUUUGCUGAAGUAGCAUCUUAUGAUGAGUGUUGUUGAUGAGUGUUAACUUUUUAUGUGGCAUAAUUGUUAGUUUAGUGCUAAACUAUUGCAUUUCGUUAGCCAUUUUGAUAAAAGAAGAAAACGAUUUGCAAUAUUUGCAGUUUUGUAUAUCUGCUUUCUAGUUAGAGGCACGUAAUGUUCACUGUCUUAUUCUUUUCUGUGUGCCAUAGUGCUCUCUGCUGUCCUAGAUUUAUAACUGCAACGUGAAAAUUUAAUACGGUGUUGUUGAUCCUUUGCUACUUGUCCCUGAGGCUCAAGGUUGUCUUUUUUUUAUCACUGAUUUCAUGCCCCUCCACCGAGAUACUGACCAUUUGUAGGUUUAACUUUAGUCAGAACAGCAAAAUAAAUGCUUUGCAAUGCA
Dromaius novaehollandiae (emu) is the source of this 11419-nucleotide long non-coding RNA. RefSeq lists it as uncharacterized. NCBI's taxonomy places the organism in Eukaryota, Metazoa, Chordata, Aves, Casuariiformes, Dromaiidae. The record is from RefSeq and is a predicted model, not a curated record. The transcript is spliced from 3 exons.